UUCCAUCAGAUAGAAAAGUUCCACUGUCGGUACUGAAGCUCCUCAGCAGUGCAGUAGCGGCCUCUCCGUAUGUGCUGGUGACCAUCAUUCUGGCAGUGAAGUGUUACAGAGCUCGAACUGACCCUGACGAGGACAACAGACCGUAUAGAGUGAUAGAAGCUGAAGCAUCUGUCUGAGUCUCAGGGAACAGACGUGAGAAAUGCGACAUGACAAAAGAAAGAACGACUCAGAUCGGGAGGUGAGGUGAACUAACAGACUGUAUAGCCUGAAGACCUAAUGCUAAGCUAUUAAUUAAUCAUUUCUGUUUCUCAUAAUUUGGC
Molecule: long non-coding RNA, 320 nt
Organism: Ictalurus punctatus (channel catfish)
Lineage: Eukaryota; Metazoa; Chordata; Actinopteri; Siluriformes; Ictaluridae
Exons: 3
Source: RefSeq, a predicted model, not a curated record